RNAcentral lists this ribosomal RNA (564 nucleotides) under uncultured bacterium. Its description in RNAcentral is "partial 16S ribosomal RNA". It matches the Rfam family "Bacterial small subunit ribosomal RNA", at positions 355 to 912 of the family's 1533-position model. The record is from RNAcentral.
UGGGGAAUUUUGGACAAUGGGCGAAAGCCUGAUCCAGCAAUGCCGCGUGUGUGAAGAAGGCCUUCGGGUUGUAAAGCACUUUUGUCCGGAAAGAAAUCCUUGGCUCUAAUACAGUCGGGGGAUGACGGUACCGGAAGAAUAAGCACCGGCUAACUACGUGCCAGCAGCCGCGGUAAUACGUAGGGUGCAAGCGUUAAUCGGAAUUACUGGGCGUAAAGCGUGCGCAGGCGGUUUGCUAAGACCGAUGUGAAAUCCCCGGGCUCAACCUGGGAACUGCAUUGGUGACUGGCAGGCUAGAGUAUGGCAGAGGGGGGUAGAAUUCCACGUGUAGCAGUGAAAUGCGCAGAGAUGUGGAGGAAUACCGAUGGCGAAGGCAGCCCCCUGGGCCAAUACUGACGCUCAUGCACGAAAGCGUGGGGAGCAAACAGGAUUAGAUACCCUGGUAGUCCACGCCCUAAACGAUGUCAACUAGUUGUUGGGGAUUCAUUUCCUUAGUAACGUAGCUAACGCGUGAAGUUGACCGCCUGGGGAGUACGGUUGCAAGAUUAAAACUCAAAGGAAUUG